UAAAUAUUAACCAAUGAUGGAUCUUUUCUUUACAGAAGGUUACCAAACCAGUUUGCAUUUGUUGACUUAGUUAGUGGAGGCUCCUCCAUAACGAGCUCGUUAAUUUUAGGCCACCUUGCGUGGCUUUGGUUGACACUCAGUGUGUGACAGCUAAUGUGAUGCUCCCUGAAAAGUAUAUCGCAGAGUCUCGCAGAAUUACGAGGAAGGCAACGGAGCUCCGCAGCCCUGCGUUUAACCUUUAUUUAUUUAUCCAUCAUAAAAUGUGGGGCUUCUCCAGUUCCAGACAAUAUCUGAAAACUAGAGUAACAAAGAUUAAGGGGACACACACAGCCUCUAUGCAGACACGCUGACAUACGGAGCUCAGCCCUCUAUGCAGACACACUGAAAUAUGAAGACACCCACAGGCCUCUAUGCAGACACGCUGACAUACGGAGCUCAGCCCUCUAUGCAGACACACUGAAAUAUGAAGACACCCACAGGCCUCUAUGCAGACACACUGAAAUAUAGAAACACACACAGCUCUCCAUGCGGACAUGCUGAAAUACAGAGCACAGCCCUCUAUGCAGACACACUGAAAUAUAGUCAUUGGCAACUAAAAUACAGUGUGAACACAUCCAACAAAAUGGGCACACAGGGAAUUAUGACAGGAACUUAUGACAGCAAACGGCACAUGGACCCACAGGUCUGAUGAUCUCUGGCCAUCCCAAAGGUUGGGCCACUCCCUACCAUAUGCACCUCUGCUGAAGCAAGUUGAGAACUGACUCGCCGGGAGGGAGUCGCUGGCCAACGUGAGGCCAGCCCUGUGCACCGAGCGCGCAUGGAAAUGGUGCGGGUUCACCGUCUCGGGAGUUGGAUACGACUGCCAUCUUUUUAUAAAUGAGAAUUGCAGGAUCAUCGACCAUUGUGUACUCACACAUUUAAAGAUGUGUAAGUCUUAAAUAACCCUUUGGGAAUAUUAAGGAGCUGUCACAGGGGUUCUCAAUUUUGGAUGUGCAUAAAAACACUUCUGUAGUGAUUUUAAAUGAAAGUGCCUGGUCUCAACUAACACCUGCUGAACCAGAAUUGCCACGGUUUGGGUUUGAGAAUCUGUUUUUUUGUUUUUGCUUUUAUAAGUCUCAGAAGCAAAAGUGAGGGUCACUGGUUUGCAGGUGAUUGAAGGGUUUGGCCACCUGUGGGCCAUGAUGUCUGUUGUUGGUGGUGGUAAUGGUGAGGUUGGGGCUGUGAUGUCGUUGUCAUUGGUGGUAGUGAUGGUGAGGUCGGGGCUGUGAUGUCAUUGUCAUUGGUGGUGAUGGUGAGGUCGGGGCUGUGAUGUCGUUGUCAUUGGUGGUGAUGGUGAGGUCAGGGCUGUUAUGUCGUUGUCAUUGGUGGUGGUGAUGGUGAGGUCGGGGCUGUAGCAUCGUCAUUGGUGGUGGUGAUGGUGAGGUCGGGGCUGUGAUGUCAUUGUCAUUGGUGGUGGUGAUGGUGAGGUCGGGGCUGGGAUGUCAUUGUCAUUGGCGGUGGUGAUGGUAAGGUCAGGGCUAUAGUGUCAUCAUUGGUGGUGGUGAUGGUGAGGUCAGGGCUGUAGCAUCGUCAUUGGUGGUGGUGAUCGUGAGGUCGGAGCUGUGAUGUCGUUGUCGUUGGUGGUGGUGAUGGUGAGGUCGGGGCUGUGAUGUCAUUGUCAUUGGUGGUGGCGAUGGUGAGGUCGGGGCUGUAGCAUCAUCAUUGGUGGUGGUGAUCGUGAGGUCGGAGCUGUGAUGUCAUUGUCGGUGGUGGUGGUGAUGGUGAGGUCAGGGCUGUGAUGUCGUUGUCAUUGGUGGUGGUGAUGGUGAGGUCGGGGCUGUGAUGUCGUUGUCAUUGGUGGUGGUGAUGGUGAGGUCGGGGCUGUGAUGUCGUUGUUGUUGGUGGUGAUGGUGAGGUCAGGGCUGUAGUGUUGUCAUUGGUGGUGGUGAUGGUGAGGUCAGGGCUGUAGUGUUGUCGUUGGUGGUGGUGAUGGUGAGGUCACUGUAGGAAAGCCCAGCAGAAUGGCCCUGAAGCGUGGGCUCCGUCCCUGAUAUGCCUUCCCAUGAUCUCUUUU
Molecule: long non-coding RNA, 2053 nt
Filed under: Pan troglodytes (chimpanzee)
Lineage: Eukaryota; Metazoa; Chordata; Mammalia; Primates; Hominidae
Description: long non-coding RNA NONPTRT010285
Source: RNAcentral